AGCGAACGCUGGCGGCAGGCCUAACACAUGCAAGUCGAACGAACCUUUCGGGGUUAGUGGCGGACGGGUGCGUAACACGUGGGAACGUGCCUUUAGGUUCGGAAUAACUCGGGGAAACUUGUGCUAAUACCGAAUGUGCCCUUCGGGGGAAAGAUUAAUCGCCUUUAGAGCGGCCCGCGUCUGAUUAGCUAGUUGGUUGAGGUAAUGGCUCACCAAGGCGACGAUCAGUAGCUGGUCUGAGAGGAUGAGCAGCCACAUUGGGACUGAGACACGGCCCAAACUCCUACGGGAGGCAGCAGUGGGGAAUCUUGCGCAAUGGGCGAAAGCCUGACGCAGCCAUGCCGCGUGAAUGAUGAAGGUCUUAGGAUUGUAAAAUUCUUUCACCGGGGACGAUAAUGACGGUACCCGGAGAAGAAGCCCCGGCUAACUUCGUG
Molecule: ribosomal RNA, 434 nt
Filed under: uncultured bacterium
Lineage: Bacteria
Description: partial 16S ribosomal RNA
Rfam family: Bacterial small subunit ribosomal RNA
Source: RNAcentral